RNAcentral lists this ribosomal RNA (235 nucleotides) under uncultured Glomus. RNAcentral's name for it is "partial small subunit ribosomal RNA". It matches the Rfam family "Eukaryotic small subunit ribosomal RNA", at positions 548 to 785 of the family's 1831-position model. Lineage: Eukaryota; Fungi; Glomeromycota; Glomeromycetes; Glomerales; Glomeraceae. The record is from RNAcentral.
UUGGAGGGCAAGUCUGGUGCCAGCAGCCGCGGUAAUUCCAGCUCCAAUAGCGUAUAUUAAAGUUGUUGCAGUUAAAAAGCUCGUAGUUGAAUUUCGGGGUUAGCAGGUCGGUCGUGCCAUCGGUAUGAACUGGUCUCGCUGAUCCCUCCCUCUUGAAGAACUGUGAUGCCAUUAAUUUGGUGUCGCAGGGAAUCAGGACUGUUACUUUGAAAAAAUUAGAGUGUUUAAAGCAGGC